This 421-nucleotide ribosomal RNA is filed under the name uncultured bacterium. RNAcentral describes it as "bacterial SSU rRNA". It matches the Rfam family "Bacterial small subunit ribosomal RNA", at positions 917 to 1341 of the family's 1533-position model. The record is from RNAcentral.
GGGCCCGCACAAGCGGUGGAGCAUGUGGUUUAAUUCGAUGAUACGCGAGGAACCUUACCAGGGCUUAAAUGUAGGAUGCAUUAGCUAGAGAUAGCUAUUUCUUCGGACUUCUUACAAGGUGCUGCAUGGUUGUCGUCAGCUCGUGCCGUGAGGUGUCAGGUUAAGUCCUAUAACGAGCGCAACCCCUGUCGUUAGUUGCCAGCAUGUAAAGAUGGGAACUCUAGCGAAACUGCCGGUGCAAACCGUGAGGAAGGUGGGGAUGACGUCAAAUCAUCACGGCCCUUACGUUCUGGGCUACACACGUGCUACAAUGGCCGGUACAGAAAGCAGCCACUAUGCGAAUAGGAGCUAAUCUUUAAAACCGGUCUCAGUUCGGAUCGCAGUCUGCAACUCGACUGCGUGAAGCUGGAAUCGCUAGUAA